RNAcentral lists this long non-coding RNA (12819 nucleotides) under Amborella trichopoda. RNAcentral describes it as "long non-coding RNA (ATRI_LNC002562)". Lineage: Eukaryota; Viridiplantae; Streptophyta; Magnoliopsida; Amborellales; Amborellaceae. The record is from RNAcentral.
GUCAAGUGUGGGUCUUCUACCGCCAGUCGUGAUCACCCAACUGUCUAUCCUGGACCGGCGAGCUAUCACUCUACAUUCAAGAAAGUCAAAGGAAUGAGCUAUGAAGCCCAGUAAGUAGAUCAAAGCUCCAUGCAUUCCUGCCUAUACACCAUUAUUUACAACUGUCUCCAAAAUUCGUGCAGGUUUCAUAACAUGGAAACAUGUAUCUCAAUUUCAUUAGCAAUUGUUGUGAGUGAUUUCUUUCAUGGUAAAGUAAGCACAAAUCAGAUAUCAGAUAUCCCGUGAACUAAGAGUCUAUCAAAUGUUUUCCAUUAAAUAACAGAUUAAUAAAUUCAAGCAAUCAUAUAUUAACUUAUACAAUCCUAAUGUCGCCUACUUCUGAAGUAGGGCCAAACGAAUCCCAUUGCUUAAGACUUCUACCAUUUUUAGGAAGGAAGACAAUGACAAAUGGAUGACCCAUUUUGUAAUGUCUUCAUAUAUAUACACACAGUCCCUAACGCGCUUUGGGGCUUUUGAUAGGCAGAGGCCUUGCAAGAUACGACCCUCUCCUUAUGUCAUUCUGGUGAGAGAGCGUUACACUACCACUGAGUGACCCAAUGCGUAGUGCCCAUAUAGAUCUAGGGGGCGCGAUCCACCCAAUUAUUCACAUUCACAUCCUAACUCCCCUCCUAUAAUGGGGAGUCAGGGAAAGAUAUCAACUGCCAGUACAACUUUCUUAUCAUAUCACCUUACAUUACACAACCAAUGGAUGACCUGUUGCAUAAUGCCUUAUAUCAAAUUCUUAUCAUACCAUAUCGCACUACCACUGGGUGACUCAUUGCAUAGUGCUUCAUAUCACAUUUGUGGCAUGUCUGAUUAUAACCAUGCACAUUCACUAUCACAUAGGCAUGUCUUAAUACAACCAUGCACAUUCAUCAUCUCAUAGGCAUGUUUGAUUAUAACCAUGCAUAUUCAUUAUCUCAUAAGUAUUCACUAUUUCAUAAACAUUCACCAUUUCAUAAGCAUGUCUUAUUACAACCAUGCAUAUUCAACAUUUCAUAAGCAUUUACUAUUUCAUGGGCAUGUCUUAUUUCAACCAUGCAUAGUCAAUAAUUCAUAAGCAUUCACUAAUUCAUAAGCAUGUUUUAUUACAAGAGAGAAAAAACUACAAUAAUUCAUAAGUAUUCACUAAUUCAUAAGCAUGUCUUAUUACACUAAUAAGAGAGCAGAAACUUCAAUAUGAUAACCCUUAGAAAAAUGGGCAUGGCCUCUAAGACAUACGGAAUUUCAUCAUGGUUCCAAAAGAAUUUUGAAAAUAUACUCACUCAUUUUUCAUUUAGAAGUGGUUUGACCUUAAUAUAAGAUAUAUUGGUCAGUGAACAGUUCCAUAUAAAAGCAUAUAACAGUCCUGGAAAAGAGCAGGAGUUUCAGUAUGGUAGUCUCUUAGAAAAUUGGGCAUAACUUCCAAUCCACAGAGAAUUUGGUCAUGGUUCUAUACCCAUUUUUAAAAUAAACUCAUUUAUCUUUCAUUUAAAAGUGGUUCUCCCUCAAUCAGAGAUAUAUUGGUUAGUGAAACGUUCCACAUAAAAGCAUAUAUCAGUCUUGGAAAAUAGCAGGAAUUUCAAUGAGACAGUCUUUUAGAAACUUGGUCAUAACUUCCAAUCCACAGAGAAUUUUGUCAUGGUUCCAAGAUUAUUUUAAAAUAGACUCACUCAUAUUUUAUUUAAAAUUAUUUUGAACUCAAUUAGAGACAUAUUGGUUAGUGAACAGUUCCGCGUAAAAUCAUAUAAUAGUCCUGAAAAAUAGGAGGAAUUUCAAUAUGACAGUCUCUUAGGAAUUUCAUCAUGGUUCCAAAAGAAUUUUGAAAAUAUACUCACUCAUUUUUCAUUUAGAAGUGGUUUGACCUUAAUAUAAGAUAUAUUGGUAAGUGAACAGUUCCAUAUAAAAGCAUAUAACAGUCCUGGAAAAGAGCAGGAGUUUCAGUAUGGUAGUCUCUUAGAAAAUUGGGCAUAACUUCCAAUCCACAGAGAAUUUGGUCAUGGUUCUACACCCAUUUUUAAAAUAAACUCAUUUAUCUUUCAUUUAAAAGUGGUUUUCCCUCAAUCAGAGAUAUAUUGGUUAGUGAAACGUUCCACAUAAAAGCAUAUAUCAGUCUUGGAAAAUAGCAGGAAUUUCAAUGAGACAGUCUUUUAGAAACUUGGUCAUAACUUCCAAUCCACAGAGAAUUUUGUCAUGGUUCCAAGAUUAUUUUAAAAUAGACUCACUCAUAUUUUAUUUAAAAUUAUUUUGAACUCAAUUAGAGACAUAUUGGUUAGUGAACAGUUCCGCGUAAAAUCAUAUAAUAGUCCUGAAAAAUAGGAGGAAUUUCAAUAUGACAGUCUCUUAGAAAAUUGGGCAUAACUUCCAAUCAAAAGAGAAUUUGGUCAUAGUUCCAAAACCAGUUUAAAAAUAGACCCACUCAUAUUUCAUUUAAAAGUACUUUGGCAUCAAUCAAAGACAUAUUGGUUAGCGAACAAUUCUAAUUAAAAAUAGGCAACGUUCCUGGAAAUUCAUUUUAAAGUUUUGGCAUACUUCAAAGAAUGACUAAUAACUUCGCAACCAAAAUAUGCAUUAAUACAAGGUAUUUUCCAUCUUAAAAUGGAUUCACAGGGGUGAUUUUCCACUGAAUUUCAUAACCACCACAAAUUUCUUCAAGGCUCAAACUAUCACACAAAUAAAAGUCACGGUUAUGGAAAAACAGGUAUCUAUCAUAAUUUCAUUAACAUAUAUCCACCCCAUAGUUACACUUGGAUUUCAUAAUAAGAAAUAAAAAAAAUCAUGGAUGCUAGAUCUACUUACUUGUACCCAAAAGAACUCCAAGUUCCCCCUCAAAUGCCAAGUUUCCAAGGAUGGCCAGCCUAAGGUUCUAAGUGUUUGAAAGAGAGGUCGUGAGUGAGAGAGAGAAAAACUCAUGAGAGGGGUGUGAAGGGGGUUAUAUAAGCAAAGAGGGGGAGGCAGCAGACAGGUGGCAUGCAAAGGGCUACAAGUGGCAUCUAGGUGGCUUACAGUGGCAUACAUGUGUCACAUGGCACUCAUAGAAGUUCCCUAGACAGCCUUAUACAUUCACUCUCAGCAGCAAAGCACACGGAGGUGACGCGCAGGGCUGUGACACGCAUGGCGACGCGCACGGUAGUGAUGCACACGGCGGUAUCAUGCAUGGCGGUGACGUGCACAGUGGUGUCGCCCACGGAGCUGACGCACACGGUGGUGUUGCGCACUGCUGUGAUGCGCACGGCGGUGUCGCUCAUGGCGGUGACACACACAACAACAACCCCAUGCACGCACGGUGGCGUCCUCGUCACGCACGACGGCUUCCUUAUCAUGCAUGAUAGCUUCCUUCAUGCACGCACGACGGCUUCCUUUACGUACGACGACUUCCUUCAUGCACGAUGGCUUCCUUGUCACGCACGGCGGCUUCCUUCAUGCACGACGGGUCCUUACAUCAUCCCCCCUUAAAAGGAUUUUGUCCCCAAAAUCAUACUUAUGUUAAUCGAACAAUUGGGGGUAGUUAUUCCAGAUCUCAUCUUCCCGUUCCCAGGUCGACUCUUCUCGUGAAUGGUAUUGCCGUAAAACACAGACCAGAGGGAUUUCCUUAUUACACAAUACCUGCACCCUUCUGCCUAGUAUUCCAACUGGUUUCUCGAUGAAGGUCAGGUCUUAUCUGAUUGAAACAGGUUCAUACUUCUGAAUAUGGGACGGGUCAGGCUGGUACUUUCUUAACAGAGAUACAUGAAAAACAUUGUGGAUAUUUACCAACUUGGGUAGUAGGGCAAGUCGAUAUGCCAUGCUUCCAACUCUUUCUACAAUCUCAAAAGGUCUCAUAAUUCCCUUAAUCGGCGAUGCCUUCAAGAAAAACUGAUCAUCCACCUCAAACUCGAGGUCUCUUCUUCAGUUAUCGGCAUAACUCUUAUGCCGAUUCUGAACUGUCUUGACUCUCGAAUCAAAGAAAUCUUUUAUGAGGUCACCUGGACAAUUGUUGGCCCUAAGAGCCUUCUUUCACCAAUCUCGUCCCAGCAAAUGGGUGACUAGCACUAUCUUCCAUACAGGGCCUCAAAAGGCACCAUCUGAAUACUAGUUUGGAAGCUGUUAUAUUAUAGGCGAAUUCAAUCAGAGGAAAGUGAUCAUCCCAGCUUCCCUUAAAAUCAAAGAUACAAGCCCUUAACUUAUCUUCCAAAGUAUUAAUGAUUCUCUCUGAUUGUCCAUCAGUUUGGGGGUGAAAGGCAUUGCUAAAAGUAUGUCUCACCCCCAAGGCUACCUGUAGACCAGCCCAAAAUCUAGAGGUAAAUCUAGUGUCCCUGCAGGACACGAUGCUGACGGGUAUUCCAUGCAACCUUACUAUCUCCUUGAUGUAUAAUUAGGCCAGUUUAUCCAAGGUGUAGGUCGUGCCGAUCAACAAGAAGUGGGUAACUUUGGUCAGCUGGUCUACCACGACCCAAAUACUAUCAUGCCCAGAACUCGUUCUUGGCAACGCAGAGACAAAGUCCAUAGCAAUGUGCUCCCAUUUCCAUUUUGGCACAGGUAAGGGCUGCAACAAUCCAACGGGUUUAUGAUGCUUGGCUUUCACUUGCUGGCAUGUCAAACACCUAGAAAUAAACAAUGUUAUUUCCUUUUUCAUGUCAUUCUAUCAGAAAAUUUUCUUCAGGUCCUUAUACAUUUUAGUACUCCCAAGAUGUAUAAUAUAACGAGAGCGGUGAGCUUUCUCUAAGAUAGCUCUCUUUAGUUUGGAAGCUGUUAUAUUAUAGGCGAAUUCAAUCAGAGGAAAGUGAUCAUCCCAGCUUCCCUUAAAAUCAAAGAUACAAGCCCUUAACAUAUCUUCCAAAGUAUUAAUAGUUCUCUCUGAUUGUCCAUCAGUUUGGGGGUAAAAGGCAGUGCUAAAAGUAUGUCUCACCCCCAAGGCUACCUGUAGACCAGCCCAAAAUCUAGAGGUAAAUCUAGUGUCCCUGUCGGACACGAUGAUGACGGGUAUUCCAUGCAACCUUACUAUCUCCUUGAUGUAUAAUUAGGCCAGUUUAUCCAAGGUGUAGGUCGUGCUGAUCAGCAAGAAGUGGGCAACUUUGGUCAGCUGGUCUACCACGACCCAAAUACUGUCAUGCCCAGAACUCGUUCUUAGCAACCCAGAGACAAAGUCCAUAGGAUUGUGCUCCCAUUUCGAUUUUGGCACACGUAAGGGCUGCAACAAUCCAACGGGUUUAUGAUGCUUGGCUUUCAUUUGCUGGCAUGUCAAACACCUAGAAAUAAACAAUGUUAUUUCCUUUUUCAUGUCAUUCCAUCAGAAAAUUUUCUUCAGGUCCUUAUACAUUUUAGUACUCCCAAGAUGUAUAAUAUAACGAGAGCGGUGAGCUUCCUCUAAGAUAGCUCUCUUUACAUCCUCAUCAUUUGGAAUACAGACCCGAUUAUUGAAUCUCAACAAGUCAUCACUGCUUAUAGUGAAAUCGUCUUUCCUUCCCAGCUUUACCUCUUUUAAAAUUUUCACGAGCUGGGGAUUCUUCUUUUGCGCUAGCCGGAUCUGUUGAAAAGCUAGGGCUCUAUCCUUAUGCAAGCUGUCAUAAUUACCCCAUCACCAAGGGGCAGAGCUGGGUGCCAUCAAACUACAUCCUCUAACAACUUCAUCUCUCAAACCAUUAGAUGAACUAUUGAUAUUACGUUUCCUCCGUUCUCUGUCUUCAUAGACGGCAGUACAAGCCGCCGUCUGUGCACUCUCAUUCUCUCUUCUCUCUCUUCACAGACGACAACUAAGCCGCCUUUUGUGCUCUACCUUCUGUGCUCUAUAUUCCUCUUUUCUCUCUCUUCUCUUUCUUUCUUCUUUCUCUCUCUUCUCCUUCUCUCUUCUUUCUUAAAUUUCUUGUUUCUUUUUAUUAUCUUCUUCUUUGAAGGAUUUGGGUGGAAAACAAACCAAUCUUCUCUCUUUCUUUCUCUUUAUUCAUUUGCAUGAUGAUGGACUAGUUGAAAGGCAUACUAACCCUUCGUUUGUCUUUUCUUUAAAAAUGUUUCUCUUUACUUUCUCUCUGAAGGACUAGUUGGACAGCAUACUGGCCCUUUUCCUUUCUAUCUCUACUUUCUUCUCUCUCUUCCUAAAGAACCAGGUGAAAGCCAAACUGAUCUUCGGUCCUCUGUUCUACUCUUUCCUUUUUCUGUAUUUCUUUGUCUCUCCCUCAUUUUCUUCAUCUCACCCCCUUUUGCUUUCAUUUUCUUUUUAAGAAAUAAUGUCGUGACUGUCUUGUUAAGAAGAUGUUGGAAGGCUGUCCGAUUGACAUAGACCCAAUUGCAUCGUUCCCUCAUUAUUCCCCUCUAAUGUACACACUUGUGUGCAUUCAUUCAAAGACAAUGUAGGGUCUUCUGACACACUUAUCUGUAUUAUAAUGUGUGUUUGUGAUCGCAGGAAAGAAGAAACAGGUUAAGGGAGGCGAUUCCGAACCGGCCUCUGGCCAGGUGGGCAUUCCACAUAAUCUAAGAGGGCACCUAUAUGAGCUAGCCCACGCAUGUCACGAACCCACGUGAGGUAAGCCCCACCUCAUGACCCAAAUUUCUCUCUCACUGGUUGGUAUUCCUGCCUGUGUCUCCUUACGCAGUUCCUGAGAGAGCGAUCUCAGGUCCCAGAUCUUUCUCGAACUUGAAACCACACCACCAGAUCAUCUCGACCCAAAGGACGAGAUCGACGCACCUAAUCAUUUGUAUCGCCUUGUUUAACCCAUUUAGAAUGUGAUCUCUGAAACUAGAAGAUCUCAAGCAAUUGCAGAUAAUUAUCAAGCUCCAUUUUUUUGACAUUUCUGUCUGACAAUUGAUCAGUGUUCAAACCACCCAUGAAUAGUUCCAUAGAGUUAAGAUUAGAAAUCUCUUGUUCUAAGCUACCGAUAUUCCCAUCCAAGUUCUCGAAUUUGUUUCUACCCCAAACCUUUAAAUUAUUUUUCAAAAGCUUAAGUUUGCAAAGAAGGAACAAAAUCCGGACAUUGGUGAGACAUAACUGUGGCCCAAGAGGAUUUAACAACCUUAGCGAAGGUCUUGUCCUCCAACCACAUCAAUUCAAAACGAAAGGGAUGAGGUUCGGAAGCCACCCCAAAAAAAUCAAGCAAAAUAAGAGUUGGGUCGGAAGCAAAUUGGAGAAGAGCCUUAACCAUCGCUUUAGGGAACUGCUCAGCCCAUUCAAUAGAGAUCAGAAAAUGAUCCAGCUUGGACAUUUUCGGGUCACCAGCUGAUUUAUUGGACCACGUAAAGGUCGUGCCCAAAAUAUCAUAAUCAAAUAAAGAAUGGGCAGUAAUAAAAUUGUCAAACUUUUUAUUAGUUUCCCCUAAUUAGACCAUUCAACUUGGGGAUACUCAUGGUGGUGAGUCCGAGUUACUCGAGCAAGGCCAAGUUAGCCCGCCCUAGUUUUUUUGAAUUGAUCUGAAUUAUUGAGGGCCCCCUUUUUUUUGGGUAAUUCAGUGGAGAAGACACGCCCCUACUUGCUUUUUUUCAAUAGAUUAGCGAGUUAUAUUUUGAAAGUGUUAAUUGUGAGUUAAAAAAUAAAUGUGAGCAGAUAAAGAAGAAGAAGAAGAAGAAGAAGGCAAUCAGAUUUUAGCGUGGUUCGACAGAGCUUGUCUACAUCCACGAGUAUCAAUUCUCUAUUACUUUUUGUUAUAUCUUUUCAACAGACUUUACAAGGUAUGUAUGCACAAAACAAAAGAAUGACCCAGAAGGAAACUCCCCAAAUUAAUAAGAUAUUGUGAUCCCAAUCAUCCCAAAAGAAUAACAACAAAUAAAACAACCCUAAUAACUUAAGAAACUGUAGGGUUGACCGUGAAUCCUUCAACACUCCCCCUCAAGUUGGUGUGUAAAUAUCAAUUGAGCCCAACUUGCUCAAAGCUUGGAAAAAAUUAGUCCUUGAAAUAGCCUCGGCAAAAAUAUCUGCUAGUUGGUCUUUACUUUGAACAAAUGUAGUGUUAAUAAUUCCAGCUUAGACAUUAUCAUGGACAAAGUGACAGUUUACCUCAAUUUGUUUAGUCGUUUCAUGAAAAAUAGGAUAAGAAACAAUAUGAAUGGCAACCCGAUUGUCACAAAACAUUUUCAUUGGCAAUUUCACUUGAAAUCCGAGGUCCUGAAAGAGAAACUUCAACCAAACAAGUUCACUUGUAGUUGCAGCUAUGGCUCUAUAUUCGGCUUAUGCGCUUGAUCUGGCGACCACACUUUGCUUUUUACUUUUCCAAGUGACAAGGUUUCCACUUACCAUUCUACAAAACCUAGUAGUAGACCUUCGAUCAUUCGGGCAUCCAGCCCAAUCAGCAUUAGAAUAUCCGACAAUAUCAAUGUGAUUAUUACAUUUUAGCCAAAUUCCUCUUCCAAGGUAGGAUUUUAGAUACCGAAGGAUUCUUUCAACAACAAUCAUAUGACUAGUUCUUGGGGCAUGCAUAAAUUGACUAACUUGGCUAACAACAUAAGCGAUAUCUGGUCUAGUAAUAGUCAAAUAGAUUAGUUUCCCAACAAGUCUUUGAAAUCUAUCAAUAUUUUUAAGAGGCUCCCCUUCAUAAGAAGUAAGUUUAUUAUUCAAGUUGAAUGGAAUAUCAAGAGGUUCAACCCCAAGUUUUCCAAUAUCUUUUAAGAGAUCCAAACAUGCUUUAUUUGAGAUAUAAAAAUUCCCUUUUUGGAGUAUGCAACCUCAAUUCCAAGAAAGUACUUGAGUUAUCCUAAAUCCUUAAUAUCAAAUUUGCUUUGAAAAUAUCAUUUUAGCUUUGAAAUUCCUUCUUUGUCGUUACCAGUUAUUACAAUAUCAUCAACAUAUACAAGGAUAACAACAAUUCCAUUUUUUCCAUUCUUCCCGAAUAAGAAAGAGUCGGUAGAGCCAUUUUUAACUAUAUUUAAAAGAGUAGUACUCAGCUUUGUAUACCACGCUCUCAGAGAUUGUUUGAGUCCAUAUAGAGUCUUUUUAAGUAUAUAGGUAAGUUCAGGAUUUCCUUCUUUAGGAUGACCUAGAGGAAUGUUCAUGUACACUUCUUCCUCAGGAUCUCCAUAAAGGAAUGCAUUUUUAACAUCCAUUUACCACAAAGACCAUCCACAAUUUACAACAAUGGAGAGAAGAACCCGAAUAGUACCCAUCUUAGCAACAUGGGCAAAGGUUUCCUUAUAAUCCACACCAUAUGUUUGGGUAAAAUUUUUGGCAACAACUCUUGUCUUAUGUCUCUCAAUGGUACCAUCACUAUUGUAUUUAAUUUUGAAAACCAUUUACAACAAACAACCUUUGUUUUUCUUUGGGUAAACGAACUAUAUCCCAAGUAUGGAUUUUAUCAAGGGCUAAUAGUUCAUCUUCCAUGGCUUUCCUCCAGACAGGUUGAGAGUACGCAUCAUUAAAAUUACUGGGUUCAACAUUAUUAGAAAUAGAACUUAAAAAAGCAGAGUACUUUCAAGAAAUGUUUUUGUAGCAAAUUUGAUUUUGAAUAGGAUGAGAAACAACAUGAUAAGUAAAAAAGUCCUGCAAUCUUGAAGGAGGGCGAGUAACACGAGACGACUUGCGAAGGGGAGGAUCAGGAGGAUGGGACACGGGGUUAUUACCUCUUGGAGUGUCAUUAUCAUUACCAGCUUCAUUCUCAUUGUCAUUGUCAAUAUUCUGAUUCUCCAGAUUUCUUUCAUAAGAGUUGUUGUUUUGUCUAAUAGGAACUGGAAGAGGAUAUUCCCCAUGAGCUCUAUUUUCAGCUAAUUCAGAGUUGGGUUGAAAAUAGGGUUCAUCCUCAAACAUUGAACAUUUCUAGAAAUAAAUAAUGUUUUUUGUAUUGGACUAUAAUAUUUGUACCCUUUCUUUUUGUGGAGGAAUAUCCAACAAAAAUACACUUAUUAGCUCGAGAAUCAAGGUUAUGAUCAAGAAUAUGAGAAAAACAAACACACCAAAAAACACGUAGGUAAGCGAUGUUAAUCUUCCUUUUAUUUAAAACUUCAAGAGGGGAUUUAUCAUAGAGAACCUUACUAGGAAGUCUAUUAAUAAGGUAACAGGCAGUCAAGACAGCUUCAGACCAAAAUCUUUUUGGAACAUUUUUCUCAAACAUUAAGGAUCUAGCAACCUCAAGAAUGUGCCUAUUUUUCCUUUCAGCAACCCCAUUCUGCUGGGGGGUCCCGACACACGAGGUCUGAUGUAUAAUGCCAAGACUAGUAAGGUACUCAGAAAAAGUUUUAUUAACAUACUCAGUGCCAUUAUCAGAUCGAAAAUUUUUUAAUAUUGGCAUUACACUGAUUGGACACAAGAGCAUUAAAUUCCUUAAAGGUCUGAACCUCAUCUUUUGAUUUUAAAAGAUAUAUCCAAGUUGCACGUGACCAAUCAUCAGUAAAUAAAAUAAAGUAUCUAUGCUCAGAAUAACUAUCAAUAGGGGCAGGUCCCCAAACAUCUGAGUGAACUAACUAAAGGAGCCCAUUACAAUCAUGCAUAGACUUCUGAAAAGGAAGUUUGGUCUGUUUAGAAAAUUGACAAGUAUUACACCCAUGAAAAUCAAUACUAAGAUAAGGAAUCAAAAUGUGUAAAGUAUGAUCAAAAGGGUGAGCAACUCUAGCAUGCCACAACUUGCUACUGAAAUACUUAGCCACCAAGGCUUUAUUUUCUUGAUCCAGAAUAUAUAAUCCAUUCGAAAUUCUCCCUUCACCAAUCUUCCUCCCUGUGGCCCGAUCUUGAAAAACAACAUUAAAAGGAAAAAAAGAACAUUGUAAUUUAGAUCUUUGGUUAUCUUGCUCAUGGACAACAAAUUUGAAGGAAAUGAUGGUAGAAACAGUACUUCAGAAUCAUGAGAGUUAGAGCCAAUUUCAGAUUUUUCGAAACCGUGAACAAGAAUAAUUGAACCAUUGGAUAUGGAUAUGGGAGGCUUACUAGAAGAUUUCUCAUAACUGGUUAAGCUCUUAAGAUUACCAGUCAUAUGAUCAAUAGCCCAUGAAUCAAUAACCCAAGAAUGAAUAUUUGAAUGAGAAUGAAAAGAGUAUGGUGAGGAAUUGCCUAGGGAGAGUCAUAUGUAGAGAUAUUGCCACUCUUACCAUACUGUUGAAAAAAUUGAGCAAUUUUUUUCAGAGUAAUUUGUGAAUCAGUUGUGGAUGCUUGGGAGCCAGUUCUUUCACCUCCUAUAUCCUAGGAAGGUCUCAAGUGGAGAUGUAAAAGCCAACAUCGGUCUUUUGUAUGACCAAGAGCUUUGCAAUGAUCACAUUUAAAAGGGGGUCCUUCCUCCAUUUGGAAGCCUUCUACCAUGUCCACGAAAACCACGUCUACCUCUUGUUUCAUUAUUAGUAGACUUCUUGUUUUCAAAUUUCUAAUUAUUUGCAACAAAGGCAGACUUCUCAAUCACCUCAGUAUUAUUUUUUUCAUGAUUCAUCACCUUCGUCCUAAUUUUUUCUCUUAAGACAGCAGAGUAAACACUUGCGAAACUAGGGAGUUCAGCUGACAUCAAUGUUUGACUACUUAACCUCUCAUAUUCAGGUUUUAAAGCAGCAAGAAACUGUAAAAGUUCGCCUUGUUAAACACGUUUUUGGAUGACGGCCAAGUCAGUAGUGCCAGGAGAAUAAGUGGCCAACUCAUCCCACAUUGGUUUGAGACUGGCAACUAACUCAGUUACUGAUUUUUCCUAUUUAAUCUGAGAUAUUUCUUGCUUCAAUUGAUAUAUGCGAGCUAUAUUAUUUUGAUUACCAUAUACAGACUUAUUAGAUUCCCAUAAUUGUUCAGCUGUGUCUGAGUGGGUGAAUAUUUCAGCAAUUGCAGGUUGCAUGGAAUUCAAAAUCCAAGACAUAACCAUUUGAUCAUUGGCUUGCCAAUCUUCAUAUGUAGGAUCAUUAGAUUGAGGCGUCUUUGUCUUUCCAGUGAUAUAACCAAACUUAUAUUUUCCACCGAAGGCCAAAGAUACAGCCCUUGACCAGACAAUAUAAUUGAGUCCAUUGAGCGAGGUAGUAGUUAGUUUAAUACUAGUAUUGGACUCAAAAUCAUGUGUGGAAGAUUUAGAGUUAUUAUCCUUAUCAGUCAUAAGAAAAAAAGUGCCCUGAUUAAAGAUGACAAAGGCGAUGAUCAAAACAGAAAUUCCAAGAAAUAACAAAGAAUAACACCUCCACCAAAAUUAAAUCUCAUAUCCAAAAACUGAUGAACGCAACCACCAAUUCUACAAGGAAAACGCAGCCCAAAAAACCUCAUGGAAAGGGAGUGAAAGUCAAUUUAGUAAAAGAAGCCAAGAAUUUUACCCCCAACAUUCUUUCACAGUAGAUGUUGUCAACACGAUAAAGCCAAACUUUCUUGAGGGAAGAGCUCUCAAAACUUUCACAGCAGAGACGAGUUGCAGAGCCUUAUCAGCUUCAAAUUCACAUAGAAGAACGCUGCUCAGAAUGUAGCAAACCUCUGAGUAGCACAAGCAAAUCUCUGCAAAUAAGAAAAAAAUAUCUGUCCAAUAUCUAUUCCCUGAAUCACAGAAAGAAGAAGAAUAGGACGAUGCGAACUGCUGCCAGAAAAAGAAUGGCAAAUUUGCAAAACUAUAACACGCCGCAACCAAAACAAAUCUAUGAAAUUGUAGAGGUUAAGAAUAGAGUUUCUUUCCAUCGAUCUUCUAGCAAAAAUACAGCAAGAGAUAUCUGGCUCUUGCAUCACUAGGUCAAAGAAACUACAACGAUAAUGAUAGAUCACAGCAGAGAGCUUCCACAGAACCUUGCUAGACCUUCUGCGAAAGUUUCGACAAAAGAUUGCAACUGGAUGAAGGCCAAUGAAGAAAAAAUGAUGAGAAAUGGAUCGCUAUAAAAUAAAUGUGAGAAGAUAAAGAAAAAGAAGAAGAAGGCACUCAGAUUUUAACAUGGUUCGGUAGACCUUGCCUACAUCCACGAGUAUCAAUU